RNAcentral lists this ribosomal RNA (100 nucleotides) under uncultured bacterium. RNAcentral describes it as "partial 16S ribosomal RNA". It matches the Rfam family "Bacterial small subunit ribosomal RNA", at positions 392 to 508 of the family's 1533-position model. The record is from RNAcentral.
CCAUGCCGCGUGGGUGAUGAAGGCCUUAGGGUUGUAAGACCCUUUCGGCGGGGUAAGAGUAAUGACGGUACCGCAGAAGAAGCCCCGGCUAACUUCGUGC